Molecule: ribosomal RNA, 435 nt
Filed under: uncultured bacterium
Lineage: Bacteria
Description: partial 16S ribosomal RNA
Rfam family: Bacterial small subunit ribosomal RNA
Source: RNAcentral
AGCGAACGCUGGCGGCAGGCUUAACACAUGCAAGUCGAGCGGGCACCUUCGGGUGUCAGCGGCAGACGGGUGAGUAACACGUGGGAACGUACCCUUCGGUUCGGAAUAACGCUGGGAAACUAGCGCUAAUACCGGAUACGCCCCUAUGGGGAAAGGUUUACUGCCGAAGGAUCGGCCCGCGUCUGAUUAGCUAGUUGGUGGGGUAACGGCCUACCAAGGCGACGAUCAGUAGCUGGUCUGAGAGGAUGAUCAGCCACACUGGGACUGAGACACGGCCCAGACUCCUACGGGAGGCAGCAGUGGGGAAUAUUGGACAAUGGGCGCAAGCCUGAUCCAGCCAUGCCGCGUGAGUGAUGAAGGCCUGAGGGUUGUAAAGCUCUUUUGUCCGGGACGAUAAUGACGGUACCGGAAGAAUAAGCCCCGGCUAACUUCGUG